This 1455-nucleotide ribosomal RNA is filed under the name metagenome. RNAcentral's name for it is "bacterial SSU rRNA". It matches the Rfam family "Bacterial small subunit ribosomal RNA". The record is from RNAcentral.
AGAGUUUGAUCCUGGCUCAGGAUGAACGCUGGCGGCGUGCUUAACACAUGCAAGUCGAACGGACGCUUUGGGAAGCUGGGGCGUUAGUGGCAGACGGGUGAGUAACACGUGGGUGACCUGCCUCAGAGUGGGGAACAACAGACCGAAGGUUUGCUAAUACCGCAUACGCUCGAUGAUUCACUUGAUCGAGUAAAGGUGCAAAUCGCUUUGAGAGGGGCCCGCGGCCCAUCAGGUAGUUGGUGAGGUAAAAGCCCACCAAGCCGAUGACGGGUAGCUGUUCCGAGAGGAAGAUCAGCCACAAUGGAACUGAGAUACGGUCCAUACUCCUACGGGAGGCAGCAGUGAGGAAUAUUGCGCAAUGGAGGAAACUCUGACGCAGCGACGCCGCGUGGGUGACGAAGGCCUUCGGGUCGUAAAACCCUUUUAGCAGGGACGAGUGAGGACGGUACCUGCUGAAUAAGUCUCGGCUAACUACGUGCCAGCAGCCGCGGUAAAACGUAGGAGGCGAGCGUUAUCCGGAUUCACUGGGCGUAAAGCGUGCGUAGGCGGUCGGGUAAGUCGGAUGUUAAAGCCCCUGGCUCAACUGGGGGAGGUCAUUCGAUACUGCUCGGCUUGAGGAUGAGAGAGGAGAGCGGAAUUCCCGGUGUAGCGGUGGAAUGCGUAGAGAUCGGGAGGAACACCAGCGGCGAAAGCGGCUCUCUGGCUCAUAUCUGACGCUGAGUCACGACAGCGUGGGGAGCAAACGGGAUUAGAUACCCCGGUAGUCCACGCUAUAAACGAUGAGGGCUGGGUGUUGGUUUCAUUUGGAAUCAGUGCCGAAGCAAACGCGUUAAGCCCUCCGCCUGGGGACUACGAACGCAAGUUUAAAACUCAAAGGAAUAGACGGGGGCCCGCACAAGCAGCGGAGCGUGUGGUUCAAUUCGAUGCAACACGAAGAACCUUACCAGGGCUUGACAUGCAUGUGGUAGGAAAGGGAAACCGGACCGACCCGCAAGGGAGCGUGCACAGGUGCUGCAUGGCUGUCGUCAGCUCGUGCCGUGAGGUGUUGGGUUAUGUCCCGCAACGAGCGCAACCCUCGUCGCUAGUUACAUGUGUCUAGCGAGACUGCCGGAUUAUAUCCGGAGGAAGGCGAGGAUGACGUCAAGUCAGCAUGGCCUUUAUGUCCUGGGCUACACACACGCUACAAUGGGUGCAACAGAGCGUUGCCAAACCGCGAGGUGGAGCUAAUCGCACAAAUGCACCCUCAGUUCAGAUUGCAGGCUGCAACCCGCCUGCAUGAAGCCGGAGUUGCUAGUAAACGCGCGUCAGCUAUAGUGCGUUGAAUGCGUUCCCGGGCCUUGUACUCACCGCCCGUCACGUGAUGGGAGCCGGUAACACCUGAAGUCGGUGACUGAACCGCAAGGACAGAACCGCCGAAGGUGGGACUGGUGACUGGCACGAAGUCGAAACAAGGUA